CCCUUAGAUGCUCUGGGCCGCACGCGCGCUACACUGGUCGAUGCAACGAGUUUCUUUCCUCGGCCGACAGGCCUGGGCAAUCUUUGAACAUCGAUCGUGAUCGGGAUAGAUUCUUGUAAUUUUUGAUCUUAAACGAGGAAUUCCUAGUAAACGCAAGUCAUCAGCUUGCAUUGAUUACGUCCCUGCCCUUUGUACACACCGCCCGUCGCACCUACCGAUUGGGUGUUCCGGUGAGGAUUCAGGACUCGGAGUGUUUCCUGGCGAGAGGUUCUGCUUCUCGACAGAGCUCUGGGAAAUUUAUUCAAAUCUUAACACUUAGAGGAAGGAGAAGUCGUAACA
RNAcentral lists this ribosomal RNA (339 nucleotides) under uncultured eukaryote. Its description in RNAcentral is "partial 18S ribosomal RNA". It matches the Rfam family "Eukaryotic small subunit ribosomal RNA", at positions 1470 to 1796 of the family's 1831-position model. The record is from RNAcentral.